This 774-nucleotide ribosomal RNA is filed under the name uncultured Neocallimastigales. RNAcentral describes it as "partial large subunit ribosomal RNA". It matches the Rfam family "Eukaryotic large subunit ribosomal RNA", at positions 24 to 627 of the family's 3401-position model. Lineage: Eukaryota; Fungi; Neocallimastigomycota; Neocallimastigomycetes; Neocallimastigales. The record is from RNAcentral.
UAUCUCUGUAGAGUCUGCAUAUCAAUAAGCGGAGGAAAAGAAACUAACUAGGAUUCCCUCAGUAACGGCGAGUGAAGCGGGAAGAGCUCAAAUUUGAAAUCUUCAAGGUUCUACCUUGACGAAUUGUAGUUUAAAGAAGUGUUUUCUGUUGGAGUUUUGGUAAAAGUUCUUUGGAAUAGGACAUCAUAGAGGGUGAGAAUCCCGUAUUUGACCAUUAUUUCCAGCUUUGUGAUACACUUUCAAAGAGUCGGAUUGUUUGGGAAUGCAGUCCAAAAUGGGUGGUAAAUUUCAUCUAAAGCUAAAUACUGGCGAGAGACCGAUAGCGAACAAGUACCGUGAGGGAAAGAUGAAAAGAACUUUGAAAAGAGAGUUAAACGGUACGUGAAAUUGUCAAAAGGGAAGCGUUUGACACCAGUGUUGUUUUCUCGAAAAUCAAUUAAAUAAGGCAGGAUUUUGUGUUGUAUUGACUUUAUCAGCUUUCUGCACUCUUUUCUUGUCUUUUUUAAUGCACUUUUCGUUUAACAAGUCAACAUCAAUUUCUUUUGUUGUAAAAGGGUCAUUGGAAGGUGGCUUUCUUUUCGGAGAAAGUGUUUAUAGCCUUUGGCCUCUGCAAUCGGAGAGAUUGAGGUCUGCAGCGUAGAUCCUUCGGGGUUAGAUACAUUUGUGCUAAGUUAUAGCCUUUCAUAGACAACUUGUUGACUAUGAUCAGUCAUGUAGCUUACUCGCUUAUGCUAUUUUACCUACGCUUAGGAUGUUGACGAUCAGCUGAGCGCG